Molecule: small nucleolar RNA, 138 nt
Organism: Tachyglossus aculeatus (Australian echidna)
Lineage: Eukaryota; Metazoa; Chordata; Mammalia; Monotremata; Tachyglossidae
Source: RefSeq, a predicted model, not a curated record
CCCCUCUCAAGGUUGUACCUGGAGAGUUUUCGGUACUCUACCAGUCUCGACUAUGGAAGGGAGAGUCAAGCAGAGGCCUACCUAUUCCAUUCGUAGCUUGGCCAGUGGCUAGUGAGUGGAAGGCAAUCUGCUAUAAGU